UUGCUACUGUUGGGGGAAAACGAAACAUUUCUUGCAAACAAGAAAAUGGAAGAAAAAGAAAAUCUAUCGGGCUUUCUAUCAGACGAUUUACAGAGGGAAGUGCAGAUGCCUCCAUGUGCGUCGGCUUCUUUGGGGGUCACAGUCUAUUCCAGAGAGCCAAAACGCGUCAUUUUACGAAGUGUAACAUUUCCAAACAUAACGCAUCAAAUCGAUGGCUGUACAGGCUCCAUCCACAAAGACUCAGCACACGAGGCUCAGCUCUAAGCUCACUCUUCUUGGCAGUUUUAAAACAAGCUGGGCACUGCUUACUUCCCUUCUUUGGUGUAUAUUUUCACUGCUCAUACCUUUCCUCUCCACCAAAACUCCACCAAUUGCCCGAGACACCUCUUUCGUCCCCCUGCCCGAGUGGAGACAGCGGCUGAGCCGAUAAAGGACCACUGGAAUUAACUGCUGGCUAUGGGAACGGCCAGGGAGGAUCAGUGAGGAAGUUUAGUAAACUUGGAACAGCUGCUUCUUAGAAGCCAGCGUGUUUUAGCCGAGCUUUAACCUUAUUCUCUCCCGAGCAGCGUGUUGAUGUUUCGCCUCUUGCUCACUGCAAACAAGGCAGGGAGCGGCGUGCGCCGAGGUGCCCGUGUGGCUGCUCUCACCCGCUAUUCGCACAGGUUCACUGCUCUCCGGGGGUCAGUCCCGGGGACCGAACGGACGCGGAGUCUCUCCUCUCGCCCCAGCUCCGGCCCAGCUCUGACGGUGCCUCUCCUUCGAGCGAGGCAAAGGAGCCGGCAGGGACCUGCAGGUUCUCGCCAGCCGAGUGCCCCCGGACCCGCAGCAAGGGCCGGGCACCAGCGAGAGGGGCCUUGGGAGCCGCCGGCUGCAGGGCAGCGCUGUCCGCGGC
Long non-coding RNA from Ficedula albicollis (Collared flycatcher), 892 nucleotides. RefSeq lists it as uncharacterized. The record is from RefSeq and is a predicted model, not a curated record. Lineage: Eukaryota; Metazoa; Chordata; Aves; Passeriformes; Muscicapidae. The transcript is spliced from 3 exons.